UGGGGAAUUUUGGACAAUGGGGGAAACCCUGAUCCAGCCAUCCCGCGUGUGCGAUGAAGGCCUUCGGGUUGUAAAGCACUUUUGGCAGGAAAGAAACGUCAUGGGUUAAUACCCCGUGAAACUGACGGUACCUGCAGAAUAAGCACCGGCUAACUACGUGCCAGCAGCCGCGGUAAUACGUAGGGUGCAAGCGUUAAUCGGAAUUACUGGGCGUAAAGCGUGCGCAGGCGGUUCGGAAAGAAAGAUGUGAAAUCCCAGAGCUCAACUUUGGAACUGCUUUUUUAACUACCGGACUAGAGUGUGUCAGAGGGAGGUGGAAUUCCGCGUGUAGCAGUGAAAUGCGUAGAUAUGCGGAGGAACACCGAUGGCGAAGGCAGCCUCCUGGGAUAACACUGACGCUCAUGCACGAAAGCGUGGGGAGCAAACAGG
RNAcentral lists this ribosomal RNA (429 nucleotides) under Acidobacteriota bacterium. RNAcentral describes it as "Acidobacteria bacterium partial 16S ribosomal RNA". It matches the Rfam family "Bacterial small subunit ribosomal RNA", at positions 355 to 776 of the family's 1533-position model. Lineage: Bacteria; Pseudomonadati; Acidobacteriota. The record is from RNAcentral.